UGGGGGAUAUUGCACAAUGGGCGAAAGCCUGAUGCAGCGACGCCGCGUGGGGGAUGAAGGCCUUCGGGUUGUAAACUUCUUUUGCUCUGAACAAGGCGCACCAUGGGGUGUGUUGAGUGUAGGGGUUGAUUAGCGCCGGCUAACUACGUGCCAGCAGCCGCGGUAAUACGUAGUGCGCGAGCGUUGUCCGGAAUUAUUGGGCGUAAAGGGCUUGUAGGUGGCUGGUUGCGUCUGUCGUGAAAGCUCAUGGCUUAACUGUGGGUUUGCGGUGGGUACGGGCUGGCUUGAGUGCAGUAGGGGAGGCUGGAAUUCCUGGUGUAGCGGUGGAAUGCGCAGAUAUCAGGAGGAAUACCGGUGGCGAAGGCGGGUCUCUGGGCUGUUACUGACACUGAGGAGCGAAAGCAUGGGGAGCGAACAGG
RNAcentral lists this ribosomal RNA (419 nucleotides) under bacterium. Its description in RNAcentral is "partial 16S ribosomal RNA". It matches the Rfam family "Bacterial small subunit ribosomal RNA", at positions 355 to 776 of the family's 1533-position model. The record is from RNAcentral.